GCCUACGGGGGCAGCAGUAGGGAAUCUUCCACAAUGGGCGAAAGCCUGAUGGAGCAACGCCGCGUGGGUGAAGAAGGUCUUCGGAUCGUAAAACCCUGUUGUUAGAGAAGAAAGUGCGUGAGAGUAACUGUUCACGUUUCGACGGUAUCUAACCAGAAAGCCACGGCUAACUACGUGCCAGCAGCCGCGGUAAUACGUAGGUGGCAAGCGUUAUCCGGAUUUAUUGGGCGUAAAGGGAACGCAGGCGGUCUUUUAACUCUGAUGUGAAAGCCUUCGGCUUAACCGGAGUAGUGCAUUGGAAACUG
This 305-nucleotide ribosomal RNA is filed under the name uncultured bacterium. Its description in RNAcentral is "bacterial SSU rRNA". It matches the Rfam family "Bacterial small subunit ribosomal RNA", at positions 337 to 635 of the family's 1533-position model. The record is from RNAcentral.